UUGACCUCGAAUCAGGUAGGGAUACCCGCUGAACUUAAGCAUAUCAAUA
RNAcentral lists this ribosomal RNA (49 nucleotides) under Golovinomyces cichoracearum. RNAcentral's name for it is "partial 28S ribosomal RNA". Lineage: Eukaryota; Fungi; Ascomycota; Leotiomycetes; Helotiales; Erysiphaceae. The record is from RNAcentral. RNAcentral also lists the same sequence under 2 other names.